UGGAUUUGGAAGGAGGAUGGAAAAGUUGCGUUGGUGAAUGAGAUUGACGGAGACGGUUUGGGAACCAUCGAGGAUGUUUGGAAGCAAAGACGUUUGGCUAAGAAGGCUCCUCCGUGACCGAAGCAACAACACUUGCACCGGAAGAGGCAGACAGUGGCGUGGUCAAGCGGCAUUUUGUCGGGAAGCUCGAGAUACCGGUGGACAGAACGGUCUCCCCGCAUUGGGCGGUUGUUAGCUAGUUGUUGAGCUUUGUUGGAAGAAAGUAAUUUAUAGGGUCGGCUUGUGUUUAAGUUUUGCCGACUGUUACCUGUUACCUAUUCUAGGGCCAGCCGCUGAA
Branchiostoma belcheri (Belcher's lancelet) is the source of this 337-nucleotide long non-coding RNA. RefSeq lists it as uncharacterized. The record is from RefSeq and is a predicted model, not a curated record. The transcript has 3 exons. Lineage: Eukaryota; Metazoa; Chordata; Leptocardii; Amphioxiformes; Branchiostomatidae.